CAGCAGCCGCGGUAAUACGAAGGGGGCUAGCGUUGCUCGGAAUCACUGGGCGUAAAGGGUGCGUAGGCGGGUCUUUAAGUCAGGGGUGAAAUCCUGGAGCUCAACUCCAGAACUGCCUUUGAUACUGAAGAUCUUGAGUUCGGGAGAGGUGAGUGGAACUGCGAGUGUAGAGGUGAAAUUCGUAGAUAUUCGCAAGAACACCAGUGGCGAAGGCGGCUCACUGGCCCGAUACUGACGCUGAGGCACGAAAGCGUGGGGAGCAAACAGGAUUAGAUACCCGUGUAGUCCCUGUCUCUUAUAC
RNAcentral lists this ribosomal RNA (301 nucleotides) under uncultured bacterium. RNAcentral's name for it is "partial 16S ribosomal RNA". It matches the Rfam family "Bacterial small subunit ribosomal RNA", at positions 509 to 807 of the family's 1533-position model. The record is from RNAcentral.